GCCUUGGUGGUUCAGUGGUAGAAUUCUCGCCUUCCAUAUUGGAGACAUGGGUUCAACUCCCAGCCAGUGCA
Molecule: transfer RNA, 71 nt
Filed under: Loxodonta africana (African savanna elephant)
Lineage: Eukaryota; Metazoa; Chordata; Mammalia; Proboscidea; Elephantidae
Rfam family: tRNA
About the family: Transfer RNA (tRNA) molecules are approximately 80 nucleotides in length. Their secondary structure includes four short double-helical elements and three loops (D, anti-codon, and T loops).
Source: Rfam by way of RNAcentral